This 874-nucleotide ribosomal RNA is filed under the name Salmonella enterica. RNAcentral's name for it is "partial 23S ribosomal RNA". It matches the Rfam family "Bacterial large subunit ribosomal RNA", at positions 885 to 1756 of the family's 2925-position model. The record is from RNAcentral. Lineage: Bacteria; Pseudomonadati; Pseudomonadota; Gammaproteobacteria; Enterobacterales; Enterobacteriaceae.
UGAAUUCAUCUCCGGGGGUAGAGCACUGUUUCGGCUAGGGGGCCAUCCCGGCUUACCAACCCGAUGCAAACUGCGAAUACCGGAGAAUGUUAUCACGGGAGACACACGGCGGGUGCUAACGUCCGUCGUGAAGAGGGAAACAACCCAGACCGCCAGCUAAGGUCCCAAAGUCAUGGUUAAGUGGGAAACGAUGUGGGAAGGCCCAGACAGCCAGGAUGUUGGCUUAGAAGCAGCCAUCAUUUAAAGAAAGCGUAAUAGCUCACUGGUCGAGUCGGCCUGCGCGGAAGAUGUAACGGGGCUAAACCAUGCACCGAAGCUGCGGCAGCGACGCUGAUGCGUUGUUGGGUAGGGGAGCGUUCUGUAAGCCUGCGAAGGUGGCCUGUGAGGGUUGCUGGAGGUAUCAGAAGUGCGAAUGCUGACAUAAGUAACGAUAAAGCGGGUGAAAAGCCCGCUCGCCGGAAGACCAAGGGUUCCUGUCCAACGUUAAUCGGGGCAGGGUGAGUCGACCCCUAAGGCGAGGCCGAAAGGCGUAGUCGAUGGGAAACGGGUUAAUAUUCCCGUACUUGGUGUUACUGCGAAGGGGGGACGGAGAAGGCUAUGUUGGCCGGGCGACGGUUGUCCCGGUUUAAGCGUGUAGGUGUGUGUUCCAGGUAAAUCCGGUUCACUUUAACACUGAGGCGUGAUGACGAGGCACUACGGUGCUGAAGCAACAAAUGCCCUGCUUCCAGGAAAAGCCUCUAAGCAUCAGGUAACAUCAAAUCGUACCCCAAACCGACACAGGUGGUCAGGUAGAGAAUACCAAGGCGCUUGAGAGAACUCGGGUGAAGGAACUAGGCAAAAUGGUGCCGUAACUUCGGGAGAAGGCACGCUGACA